CGUGAAUCCCGGCUACACAGUGAACGUUACCUGCUGCAGCUCGCAAAAAGGUGCCACCGACCUGGUAGCCUGCCAAGAAGGAGGUCCUCUACAGCGCUACUGCUCUCUCAGGUAGUUGGACCUUUCCACGCAUUACGCCAUCACAUACAUGCUUGCCAGGUAUAGACUAAGAACUGCUGAAAAAGCAAUAAAUGACCUGAGUUACAUUUCUUCUUGAGAGCCCAUUAACUCAGUCAGAUAUAAGACUACUCUAACGAACUGCUGUCCACAGCCUUCAUAAGGAAAUGUGAAGCCUCUAAGUAUUUUUGAACACUGCAACAAUAAUCAAUGUUCUGGGUGUGAUUUGAUCUAGCAUAUAAAAAUGACAGUGCUGGCUGGUAACAUUGUUCUGUCAAACAUCCAGUUAUUUGUGGUAUUGCUGCAUUUAAUUUUACUAAUUUAAAUAUUACCGACAUUGUUUGCUGCUAUUUUGGUUAAGUAACACCCCUAAGAUCCCCAAAACAUGCUGUACCAGCACUCCUCAGGGGAGAAGCAGCAGGCAGCUUGCUUCCACCCUCCCGUGCUUACAGCUUCUCCAAAUUCUGCAGAAGUAAAAAUAACAACAGUAAUUGAAGUUUCUGCUACCUUUCAGUCUGCGUGAGUUCAUGUUCUUUACUUUACCUCCAGCAUUUGGCGCUAGGCAAUCAGCAGAAGAGCCAACCUGCUCUGCAGAAAGACCCUCAGCAAGAGGACACAACAAAUACCAACAACAUGUCGCGGAACGACCAGCGUUACUCUGAGUCGAACUGCUCAGGGGAAAUCUACUACUACUUGUCCAGGAACGUUCCCCAUCCUCGGAUGGUCUGUCACAUGCAAGGAUUAAACAACGCCCCGGUCUGUCUUGUAAGAAGCAUCCUUUCAGGGCAAUACCCGGCCGCUGCCGACACAGUCACCCCCCAGCAAGAAGCUGAUCAAGAACAACAUGUGGGAACAGCAACUGGGAAUGGCAGGCGCAACGCAUCUGCCACCCACCACCUUCCAAGCCUCGAGGCUUUCCUGCAAAGGGAGCCAGGCACUUCACAGCCCACGACACGUGAGUAGGGGCACCAAACCGCCGUGUGAGACAGCAGCAGAGGAGGAACCUGCGCCGCUAAGGGUGCAGCUGGGUCUCAGCCAGGGCACUGUGUCAUUGCAGCUCAGGUCCAGGUAAAGGGAACGUAGAGCAAUGAACAUACAUUCAAAAGAUAAGUAUUUCUUCCCUUCUAUGCGUGUUAGCCACCACAUCUUACAAGAUUUCUCCUCGCUAAUUACCCUGGCAUCUUUAAAGCUUUUAGAGAUUAUAUGCUCACGAGACAUCUAAGAAUUCCCCAAUUAUCAGCAUUAUUCCAUCUGUAAGCAACAUCCUGCAGUAGUGGUUACACAGCACUAUAAGCACUAUCAUGCUUAUAGUGCACAUCUAUGAAAUGCACUUCCUAGGAUUUUCUUCCGAUUUCUUAGGCAUCUUGACAAAUAAUUGCAUUAAUGUACUAUGUGAAGUAGUAGAAGCAAACAGAAAAGGAAAGCAAUACAUCCCCUUAGAGAGAGCUAAAACAUGGCUCAGACAUUUUUGUAAUUAAGAAUGCCCCCCCCCUCCAGUAUAACCUAAGAUGUAUCUUACGGCCUUUCUGUUUCAACUUGAGAAAACGCUCUGUCUGUUAAUUUCCAGAAGGACACGCAGAUGUUCCUGAAAGGAUUCAAAGCAAGCCUACUCCGCCUGAAAAGGUAAGGGAAAAAAAGACACAGCUCUUUAUUUUCGCACACUCUCUCUUGCUUCUUAACACUGGAACCUGAACUGACAGUCUCAGACUACUCAGGAAGACAGCGCAGAACCCAGAAGAGGGAGGUGAGGAUCUCCUGUGUAGAACAUGAGAGCUUGGAAGGGAGAUGGUGUCAAGCAGGCUGAUAACUAAGCUCUAACUGUGUAUCACUUUCAGUUCUGUAACGUCACUGUGCUUUGCUAGCAAGAAAAACGGUCAAACUCAACGAAGAUGGGAAUGCAAUUCACUUUGUUUCAAAACGCUGGGGAAAAACACCAGACAACAAACAAGCACAGGAAAGAGCC
Long non-coding RNA from Calidris pygmaea (Spoon-billed sandpiper), 2080 nucleotides. NCBI's taxonomy places the organism in Eukaryota, Metazoa, Chordata, Aves, Charadriiformes, Scolopacidae. The record is from Ensembl.